UUUAAGUUCAACCAUAAUUUUAUCUUUGAUCGUUCGUCUUAUUUUUUUAUAAUUAGUUUUUUUUGUUGUUAUGAGAUGAUAAAAUAUGAAUAGUACUUUACUCGUAACUUAUGUUUUAUUUUUUUCAAAAAAUUUUUAAACAAGACGAACAAUCAAAGUUAGGCGCGGAAAACCAUGACUGCAUUUAAA
Non-coding RNA from Oryza glumipatula, 189 nucleotides. The record is from Rfam. NCBI's taxonomy places the organism in Eukaryota, Viridiplantae, Streptophyta, Magnoliopsida, Poales, Poaceae.